CACGCAUGUAACCAAUUUAAGCCCAGGCAGUGCUCUAAGCAACAAACAGAGAACAUAUGAUGAGGAACAAUUUAUUCAGUCAUAUUUACAGGCAGAAACAAUCAUGGAAGCUUCAGGAGAGUGAAACAGUUCAUAUGUGAGCAAACAUUUUACAGCAGAUUUCCCCGAAGCAUUUGGUUCGACAAUAGGCACUCGGUUCAACCAACAAACGACCAGCGAGAGGCGUCCCCCUCGCAGAAUGAAGACGGGACGCUGCCAGGUCGGGUUUGCCAGUGAAAAACACUCUUAAAGGAUCACAAAAAGAAAAGUUCAAGCUUUUUGUCCAACUUUGCCACUCUGGAAAGGCAACAGAAGAGGAGUAAAGAUGACUGAGGCACAUAAUGACACCGGGUACAGAGUAAGUGGAGGCGAUCAAAGGAAACUUCACAGAGCUAAAGGACCCCCGCACCAGCAAACGUUAGCACAUGUUGACAUGUCAGAACAGCAUAUGAGAGCGCUUCAAAGGGCCUUAUGAUGCAGCAGCUAUGAGGUAAAAAAAUAAAAUAAAGCAUCUGAUACAUUGGAAAAGCCUUGUUAUCUACAUCUGACGCACACGACAUUCACAUGAACCGGCACGAAUAUAAAUGUGAGUUUGUUCCAGUGGUCUCGUACUGACCCAGAUCUCAGUUAAAGGAGCUUCAAGAUUCGCUCGUGUUUUUAAACUGUCACGAUUUUCAGGUAAUUUUGCCCUCAUUAACUUCAAGCCUGUAAUCUCUGACUCGAACAACGAGGAACAAGGAGGCUCAUUAUAAUCCAGCACGAGCUCCCUAACAGCAGAUUAAAGAAUGAACGAAUCGAGCAGCGGUUUCAGGUUUUAAAUCAAAUCUGGUAACAGAGUAGUGACUUCAUUUAGUGUGGCCAUAAAACCCCUCUGGGAUAGAGGAGGGGUGAGUUCCCAGUGGCAUUAUGGGACGGAGCAUUUAUUUUGUUUUGAUCGGACAACGACGGCACAAAUCGUCAGCGGGAUGAUGACACGAAGCUUGUGUAGACUUGCUGGACGUUGACGCUCCACUUCAGGUGAGCCCUGCACAAACAGAAAAGAGCACAAAGAACUAUCAUGUCUGCACAAUAAAAACAUGUAAGUGUUAUUUUAGACAGUGCAGCUGUCUAUGAGGGACAGAAAAGGCCCACACUGUGUGCUGGAAGCAUUUCCUAGAGAUGUGGGUCUAUACUGACACAAUAACAUCAGACAGCUGCAGUAGAUUUGUUGGUUGAACAUCCAUGAUGUCCAUCUCCCG
Long non-coding RNA from Astatotilapia calliptera (eastern happy), 1277 nucleotides. The record is from Ensembl. Lineage: Eukaryota; Metazoa; Chordata; Actinopteri; Cichliformes; Cichlidae.